AGCUCUGAUUUUAUGGUAUUUUUAAUUGAUUUCUUGAGUUAUUUUCCUUUAGAUCUCAAAUUUAAAUUAAAACCUACAGUCUAUUACUCAAUUUGUAGUUGAUUCAAACAUUUUUAUCAUUUGAAUAUUCAAAGAUAAACUGACACUGCAUUUUUCCCCAUUGAAAGAAUUAAGUUUUAAUUCUAAUGUUCAAUACUUUUUUUUCCUACUAGGAAGUAAAUAUAAGUUCUUUAUUUAGCCCUUAAUUUUUUCAGUGUCCAAAAAUGCAUUUGGAUUUAGUGUGUAGAGAGUCUUUUAAAGAUGUAAACUAUCACAAUGGUUGUUUAGUGUCUUUCAAUCUCCAAGUAUUUUUUUUCUGUACAUGUAUUAUUUAAUUGAGUCGAAAGAUGAAUGUUUGAAAAUCUAGAUAAAAUUUGAUUGGUUAUGGUAUGCCCGUUAUGUUAAAUAAAUAUUAUUUUGAUUAAUAUCUUUAUUCAUUUUGAAGUGUGAUUUUCAUGUUUUUACCUUAUUAAGGCUUAUAAUAGUGUCAGUAUGUGUAAGUUCUGAAAAGCUUUAUUGUACAUCUUUCUCUUUCUUCACAUUGUUUUUGUUUAAUUUUAUAGUCAUUACCUUUGCAGAAAACAAAAUUUAGACAGCCAAAUUUUAACAUUAAUGAUUAUGUUGCGAAGUUAUAAAGAAACAUUUUAUAUUUCUCUUUAGCACCCAUUAUGUUUUUACAUCAUGGUGAUAUAGCAGUGAGCUUUAGUUUUACUUUAUGCAGUAUGCCCACAAAAGAUAUGAUUAAAUAGGAAUGUAAGCACAUACAAAGUAUGCAGUACCAUGUUCAAUGUCAUCCAAUUUUUAUAUUGAUUUAAAGAAUACUAGUAUGGAUUAUAUCCCUUGAAAGUGAAUCCUACAGAGCUUGUAUUAUUUAUUAAAAUUUUGAAAGAUA
Long non-coding RNA from Saccostrea cuccullata (small rock oyster), 931 nucleotides. RefSeq lists it as uncharacterized. The record is from RefSeq and is a predicted model, not a curated record. The transcript is spliced from 2 exons. NCBI's taxonomy places the organism in Eukaryota, Metazoa, Mollusca, Bivalvia, Ostreida, Ostreidae.